GGCCGCCAUCUUCCCGGUUUGCACAAGCGCUGCUGCUCCUCUGGCGGAGGCGGCGGCGGCGGCGGCGGCGGCGGCGGCGGCGGCGGGAGCG
RNAcentral lists this microRNA precursor (91 nucleotides) under Chlorocebus sabaeus (green monkey). RNAcentral describes it as "miRNA (ENSCSAG00000022184.1)". Lineage: Eukaryota; Metazoa; Chordata; Mammalia; Primates; Cercopithecidae. The record is from RNAcentral.